CGUCUAUAUACGUAUAGCAUAUCAAUAAGCGGAGGAAAAGAAACUAACUAGGAUUCCCUUAGUAACGGCGAGUGAAGCGGGAAGAGCUCAAAUUUGAAAUCUUCAAGGUUCUACCUUGACGAAUUGUAGUUUAAAGAAGUGUUUUCUGUUGGAGUUUUGGUAAAAGUUCUUUGGAAUAGGACAUCAUAGAUGGUGAGAAUCCCGUAUUUGACCAUUAUUUCCAGCUGUGUGAUACACUUUCAAAGAGUCGGAUUGUUUGGGAAUGCAGUCCAAAAUGGGUGGUAAAUUUCAUCUAAAGCUAAAUACUGGCGAGAGACCGAUAGCGAACAAGUACCGUGAGGGAAAGAUGAAAAGAACUUUGAAAAGAGAGUUAAACAGUACGUGAAAUUGUCAAAAGGGAAGCGUUUGACACCAGUGUUGUUUUCUCGAAAAUCAAUUAAAAAUGGCCGGAUUUUGUGUUGUAUUGACUUUAUCAGCUUUCUGCACUUUUUUCUUGUCUUUUUUAAUGCACUUUUCGUUUAACAAGUCAACAUCAAUUUCUUUUGUUGUAAAAGAGUCAUUGGAAGGUGGCUUUCUUUUCGGAGAAAGUGUUUAUAGCCUUUGACUUCUGCAAUCGGAGAGAUUGAGGUCUGCAGCGUAGAUCCUUCGGGGCUAGAUACAUUAGAUGCUAAGUUAUAGCUUUUUAUAGACAAUUUGUUGACUAUGAUUAGUCAUGUAGCUUACUCGUUUGCGCUAUUUUACCUACGCUUAGGAUGUUGACGAUCAGCUGAGCGCG
This 775-nucleotide ribosomal RNA is filed under the name uncultured Neocallimastigales. RNAcentral describes it as "partial large subunit ribosomal RNA". It matches the Rfam family "Eukaryotic large subunit ribosomal RNA", at positions 26 to 627 of the family's 3401-position model. Lineage: Eukaryota; Fungi; Neocallimastigomycota; Neocallimastigomycetes; Neocallimastigales. The record is from RNAcentral.